Molecule: RNA transcript, 1848 nt
Organism: Camelus dromedarius (Arabian camel)
Lineage: Eukaryota; Metazoa; Chordata; Mammalia; Artiodactyla; Camelidae
Gene: MZT2B
Gene name: mitotic spindle organizing protein 2B
Exons: 4
Source: RefSeq, a predicted model, not a curated record
GGGCCGGUAGAGGGCGCGGCGAGGCGGGGACCGGACCGGGCGCGGGGACCGGGCGGCGUGCACUCUCCGCAGCCGCUCAGAUGGCGGCGCAGGGCGCGGGACCGGGGCCGGGGGCGCCCCCGGGGCUGGAGGCGGUUCUGCAGAAGCUGGCGCUGCGGCGGAAGAAGGUGCUGAGUGCCGAGGAGAUGGAGUUGUUCGAGCUGGCGCAGGCGGCGGGCGGUGCCAUGGACCCCGACGUGUUCAAGAUCCUGGUGGACCUGCUCAAGCUGAACGUGGCGCCCCUCGCCGUCUUCCAGAUGCUCAAGUCCAUGUGCGCCGGGCAGAGGCUGACGAGUGAGCCCCAGGACCCCGCGGCCGUGCCCCUGUCCGCGUCCAGCGUGCCCGAGACCCGAGAGGCCUCCUUUCUCUCUGCCAAGAACUGUACCCCCCCUGCAAGGCCCUCCUUUUCCUCGGCCCCACAGCCUGCGGCCUCUCCGGUCCUGCUCCGCGGCCCAGCUGCCACGCACUCACCUCUCUCUCCAGGGCCCCCCGGUUCCCUCCGGUUCUCUUGCUGCCUGUUCUCUCCUUUUGCAGGUUGCGUUUAUUAGUUUAUCUCUGGGGGUUGGUGAUCUCUCCGGUUUCCAUGGAAACUGCUAUGGCCUCAGAGAACCAGAGCAGCUUGGAGCUGCGGGGGCAGGACCUGGGGGGCCACCCUGCUGUGCAGCUUGGAGACCGCGGACAUGAUUUCACAGCUCAGCUUAUUAGAGACAGCUGCAAUGCUCCUAGGAGGGCUGACCACCCCUCUCCCCAGAGGCUAACGCUGCUGCUGAGACUUGGGCUCUGCAGAGGUGCCCCGCCACCCUGGCUGGGGAGGACGAUGACACGAGAGGAGCGGGGAAGAGGCAGCGUAGUGUGCUGAGGUUUGCUUGGAGCUUGGGCCAGGGGAUGAAGGAGCCAAGGGGCAGGUGGUGCAGGCCGCCAGCAGGAGCCGGGCCUGAGCUGCAGCCUGAGGAGAGGGAGAGAGGAGGGUGUGGUCAACAGGUGUGUUGGGGUGCCAGGCUGGGAGGUGGGGAGGAAGCCCAGGCCAGGGUCAAGAGAGGUGUGGAGUGCUGGGCCCCACGGGCUCGUUCUUGAGCACUCAGGCCUUGGGUCCUGGAUGGAGAGGCCCAGUGGGGGCAGAGGGCAGAUGAGGGUGCAGAGGCUGAGAGGCAGAGGCCACCAAUGAGACCGAGAUCCCCGAGGCUGCACGUCACAGCACCUGUCCACCCAGAGCUCUGGUCACCUGCUAAUGGCAGGACCCGGGGUGGAGAACGUAUGGAGCGCUGUCAGAGAGCAAUGGGGGAUGUUGGUGGCCUAGGAUGAUGGUGGACAUUUAGGAAUGUUGGGGCCAUUGGCCUUCAGGUCUCUACAAAAGUGGGGUAGGGUUGCUCCACACCAAGGGCCAGAGCCGCAUUCAGGGGCUUGGGUCUCUGGAUCCCUGUCCCUGGCCUCCAUGUGGCCUAUGGGGGAUGUCAAGCUCACUCAUUUCUUUUUAAUUUUUUUUUUAUCAAGCUCACUCAUUUCUGCCCUUUCCUGGCAGAGAAGGGGGGCACAGAGGACCCUUAGAGCACAGAGGAGUAAUGCUUGUCUUGGGGUGGGGAUAGAGUUAAUAAGGAAAGAUAGGUUCAACUGAGUGUUCUCUGUUAACAUUUAGGGAAACCAUGUGUUUUAAAAAGAGGUGCCCCAGAAAGUGGAAGGUGGAGUUCGGUGGGCAGAGCCCGAGGACAGUUGCACCAGAAGGAACUGGAACACCUCUUGAAUGAUUUUUAUUCUGAUUACGUGCUAAAGUGAUAUAUUGGGUGUUUGAGGUUAAUUAAAAUAUUUAAGUUA